Molecule: ribosomal RNA, 546 nt
Filed under: Salmonella enterica
Lineage: Bacteria; Pseudomonadati; Pseudomonadota; Gammaproteobacteria; Enterobacterales; Enterobacteriaceae
Description: partial 23S ribosomal RNA
Rfam family: Bacterial large subunit ribosomal RNA
Source: RNAcentral
GAAUGCUGACAUAAGUAACGAUAAAGCGGGUGAAAAGCCCGCUCGCCGGAAGACCAAGGGUUCCUGUCCAACGUUAAUCGGGGCAGGGUGAGUCGACCCCUAAGGCGAGGCCGAAAGGCGUAGUCGAUGGGAAACGGGUUAAUAUUCCCGUACUUGGUGUUACUGCGAAGGGGGGACGGAGAAGGCUAUGUUGGCCGGGCGACGGUUGUCCCGGUUUAAGCGUGUAGGUGUGUGUUCCAGGUAAAUCCGGUUCACUUUAACACUGAGGCGUGACGACGAGGCACUACGGUGCUGAAGCAACAAAUGCCCUGCUUCCAGGAAAAGCCUCUAAGCAUCAGGUAACAUCAAAUCGUACCCCAAACCGACACAGGUGGUCAGGUAGAGAAUACCAAGGCGCUUGAGAGAACUCGGGUGAAGGAACUAGGCAAAAUGGUGCCGUAACUUCGGGAGAAGGCACGCUGACACGUAGGUGAAGUGAUUUACUCAUGGAGCUGAAGUCAGUCGAAGAUACCAGCUGGCUGCAACUGUUUAUUAAAAACACAGCAC